Molecule: non-coding RNA, 1287 nt
Organism: Triticum urartu
Lineage: Eukaryota; Viridiplantae; Streptophyta; Magnoliopsida; Poales; Poaceae
Source: RefSeq, a predicted model, not a curated record
UCGUCGCGGCACCAGCAAUUCCACGAUCGCAUAAUACCCGCAUGUUGAUGACCUCCAGGACUCUCCGGCCUCCUCCCUCCAGGCGUACUAUUGUUCAAGAUAGUGUGUGUGACAUAUGUGGGAACGGGGAGGAAGAUGAAUAUCAUGUUGUUAUAUCAUGCACAAAAAGUAUGGCGUUGAGAUUUGCCACGAGGAAAGAGUGGAGGCUUCCAGAAGAAAAGGAGUUCUGGUACACUGGAAUAGACUGGCUACAAAUCCUACCGGACAAGUAUGAUUCAGAGAUAAGAAAGAAAAAUCUGCUGUUGUUAUGGAGAGCCUGGUUUCUACGAGAUAACUGUAUCCACAGUGAUGGCAAAGAAACCAUUUCGAGAUCGGUGAUGUUCCUUGUGCAGUAUGAGGAGGAAAUCAGGAAUUUGUCGCUAUCUGUUGUUGGACAGGGAAACAAGAGUUGCUGGUCCCUGUCUGCAUCUAUGCAGACACACCACACCUAGGAAUCAGCCGAACGCCGAGCCAAAUGCCCAGUGGAAAGAGCCGCCUGAAGGUGUUGUAAAACUGAACACUGACACUGCCUUUUUGUCAGGCACGGGCCAAGCCUAGGCUGGCGUGAUCGCACAGGAUCAUACGGGGCAUGUUGUCUUCUCGGCGAGUAAAUCGAUGAAUAAAUGCAGAUCAGUUGAAGAGGCAGAGGGGCAAGCUAUCCUGAUGGGUCUGGUAUCGCUGUCGAGACUGUACCAAGGCCCACUGAUCAUUGAGACUGACAUCAAAAUGAUUGCAAAUGAAUUGGGACAAGCCAGAUCAAGCCGAUCGGAUUGUUUUCUGGGUUGUCAGUGAGAUAAAAAACACAAGCCGGAUCUUCAGUUCAGUUCAGUUCAGGCCAAGGCCAUCAAGAGGGAACAAAACUGUCUAGCACAUGAGCUUGGCUGCCAGAGCUGGACGGCAUGAGGACUCACUGAGAAUUGCGGACGUGCCCGAGGAGCUUCGUUCGCUGAUGCUAUCUGAAUGUACCAAGUGAUGUGUUUGGUCCUUUUUUUAGGCUAUCUUGAAUGAUUGCAAGUUUUAAUCAAGAAGUCCUCAAUAGGUGGACUGGCUCAAAAUGGAGAAGCACGCUGGUAGCUUUUUGGUUGAUUGUAUUAAGCAUUUAAUUUCAUAGCAAUUCAUACCAUCAAUAUCUUUGGGGUGCCUUGUACUCCUUCCGUAAAAUAAUACAAGAGCGUAGUGAUCUAAACACUCUUAUAUUAUAGUUUACAGAGGGAGUAAUAUUUUAGAAAAUUGUGCCUUUUUCGGCCU